This 431-nucleotide unclassified non-coding RNA is filed under the name Hevea brasiliensis (rubber tree). Lineage: Eukaryota; Viridiplantae; Streptophyta; Magnoliopsida; Malpighiales; Euphorbiaceae. The record is from RNAcentral.
UUUAGACAAAAAUUUGGCACUGAUGCAUAUGAACAGCUGGAUGUGAUUGGUAUUGAUGAAGCACAAUUUUUUGAAGACCUAUACGAUUUUUGUCGUGAAGCUGCUGAUCAUGAUGGGAAAACUCUAAUAGUUGCUGGUCUGGAUGGUGACUAUUUGAGGAGGAGUUUUGGUUCCGUCCUUGAUAUAAUUCCCCUAGCUGAUUCUGUAACUAAGUUGACUGCACGGUGUGAACUUUGUGGAAAACGGGCCAUCUUUACCUUGAGAAAGACACAGGAGACACGGAUAGAACUUAUUGGUGGGGCUGAUGUGUACAUGCCUGUAUGUCGACAGCAUUAUGUCAGUGGACAAGUAGUUGUUGAAGCUGCNNNNNGAAUCUCAGAAGGCUGAAUGUGGCUCUCACAUGUUUGUACCAGAUUCUUCUUACUAGGAUG